CCUACGGGUGGCAGCAGUGAGGAAUAUUGGUCAAUGGGCGCGAGUCUGAACCAGCCAAGUAGCGUGAAGGAUGACUGCCCUACGGGUUGUAAACUUCUUUUAUAUGGGAAUAAAGUGUUCCACGUGUGGGUUUUUGUAUGUACCAUAUGAAUAAGGAUCGGCUAACUCCGUGCCAGCAGCCGCGGUAAUACGGAGGAUCCGAGCGUUAUCCGGAUUUAUUGGGUUUAAAGGGAGCGUAGGUGGAUUGUUAAGUCAGUUGUGAAAGUGUGCGGCUCAACCGUAAAAUUGCAGUUGAAACUGGCAGUCUUGAGUACAGGUGAGGUAGGCGGAAUUCGUGGUGUAGCGGUGAAAUGCUUAGAUAUCACGAAGAACUCCGAUUGCGAAGGCAGCUCACUGGACUGCAACUGACACUGAGGCUCGAAAGUGUGGGUAUCAAACAGGAUUAGAUACCCCAGUAGUC
Molecule: ribosomal RNA, 460 nt
Filed under: uncultured bacterium
Lineage: Bacteria
Description: partial 16S ribosomal RNA
Rfam family: Bacterial small subunit ribosomal RNA
Source: RNAcentral